This 400-nucleotide ribosomal RNA is filed under the name uncultured bacterium. Its description in RNAcentral is "bacterial SSU rRNA". It matches the Rfam family "Bacterial small subunit ribosomal RNA", at positions 122 to 502 of the family's 1533-position model. The record is from RNAcentral.
UAAUCUACCUUCAAAGCUGGAAUAACUGUUCGAAAGGGCAGCUAAUACCGGAUAAAGUUGAUUUACAUAGGUAAGUUGAUGAAAGAUUGCCUCUUCUUGAAAGCAAUUGUUUGGAGAUGAGUCUGCGGACCAUUAGUUUGUUGGUGGGGUAAAGGCCUACCAAGACUGCGAUGGUUAGCUGGUCUGAGAGGAUGAUCAGCCACACUGGAACUGACACACGGUCCAGACUCCUACGGGAGGCAGCAGUGAGGAAUUUUGCGCAAUGGGGGUAACCCUGACGCAGCAACGCCGCGUGAGUGAAGAAGGCCUUUGGGUCGUAAAGCUCUGUCGACAGGGAAGAAAUUAUAAUCAUCUAAUAGGUGUUUAUAUUGACGGUACCUGUAGAGAAGCACCGCUAACU